AUUGAACGCUGGCGGCAGGCCUAACACAUGCAAGUCGAGCGGAGCAGCGGCCGGGUGAGUAAUGCCUAUGAAUCUGCCUGGUAGUGGGGGAUAACGUCCGGAAACGGGCGCUAAUACCGCAUACUAUCAGAUGAGCCUAGGUCGGAUGAGCUAGUUGGUGGGGUAAAGGCAUACCUAGGCGACGAUCCGUAACUGGGUUGAGAGGAUGAUCAGUCAAACUGGAACUGAGACACGGUCCAGACUCCUACGGGAGGCAGCAGUGGGUAAUAUUGCACAAUGGGCGAAAGCCUGAUCCAGCCAUGCCGCGUGUGUGAAGAAGGGCUUCGGAUUGUAAAGCACUUUAAGUUGGGAGGCGUUACCAACAGAAUAAGCACCGGCUAACUUCGUGCCAGCAGCCGCGGUAAUUC
This 407-nucleotide ribosomal RNA is filed under the name uncultured bacterium. RNAcentral describes it as "partial 16S ribosomal RNA". It matches the Rfam family "Bacterial small subunit ribosomal RNA", at positions 30 to 526 of the family's 1533-position model. The record is from RNAcentral.